UAUUGUUCGACUUCUUGGGGCUGU
RNAcentral lists this non-coding RNA (24 nucleotides) under Arabidopsis thaliana (thale cress). The record is from RNAcentral. Lineage: Eukaryota; Viridiplantae; Streptophyta; Magnoliopsida; Brassicales; Brassicaceae.